AGCUGAGCUGCUAUUCAUAGUCAGGGGCGUGUCUUCAAGAAUGUUGUAUGACUCAAACAUUUUUUAUGAAAUACUAUACUUUGACAGUGUGAUUACUUUUUAUUGCACACUAAUACAAUGACAUUUGUUGUGAGUAAAUAAUGUUUAAAGGCAUGCUAUAUUAUGAUAUUUUAUAUGAUUAGUUAUGACAUACUAUCAUGUUACUUGUAUUCUUCUAUUUCCUUUGUGGCAUACUAAUUACUUAAAAGCAUGCUAUAACAUUACUUUUGAUGAGAUACUGUACUAGUAUAUUUCCUUUUACAUUUUACAACUUACGAUAUUUUACUUUUACUUAUAAGGCUAUGAAUAUUUAUUUACUUUUUUUGGCAUGAAAACUAUUAUUUUGGCAAAUGUCUUAUUAUGCUUUGCCUCUUUUUAUCAAGAUGUAUAUGUAUGUAUACCCUAUGCAUUCUGAAUGUUUCAGUAAUGUUUCUAUACUGUGGCUUUUUAUGACCUUUUUCAACAUAUGAUAUUAUGAAUUACUAUGAAUUCAUUUUCAGAAUUCUAUAAAAUAACCUUGUCUUUUUUCGACAUACUAUAGUAUAACUUUUAGAGGACAUCUUUCAACAUUCUAUACCAUGACUUUUCGAUUGUUUAAUUUUUUUCAUAAAAUCACACAUACUAUACAAGUACUUCAUGUCAAAACCAACGUAUUAUAGAAUUACUUUUUGAUGACAUAUUUCAACAUUCUAUCCUUUCAAUUAUUAUGACAUACCAUACUUUUAAAUUUUUCAACAUACUAUACUAUGUCUUUUAUCAUAUUUUGCAACAUAUAUCCUAUCAUGGAUAUUCCAUUUUUCGAAAUGUUAUACUAUGAUCUUUAGAUUCUUGACUUUAUAUGACUUUUUUAACUUACUUUACUCAGACUUUUUAAAAUAAUAGACUGUGACUUUUUCAGGAUAAUAUGGUAAGACUAUUUAUGACUAUUUUACACUUAACAGACUUAAUAUACCACGAACUUUUCAUGACUUUUUUCCACAAACUACUCUACGACAUUUUAGCAGUUAAUACUUCAAUCAAUGAAUCAUAUUUUUUAGGACUUUUUAAGGCAUGCUAAGACUUUAUUUAUACAUUUUUAUUGCAAACUAUACUAUGAAAUGUUAUGUUAUCAUAUUUUUUAUGUCACGCAGUACUAUGACUUUUUACAUCAUUUUUAUGUCAUACCAUAGAAGGACAUUUUUGUUACUUUUAUGUCAUACUACGCAUUUUCCUGACACACUAUUCUAUACGAUGUUCAUGUCUUUGACGUGUUUGAUGGCAUACUAUGAUAUUCUUUAUGACAGGUCAUAUUAGUAGGACCAGCUUCUUUUCUGUGGCCAAUAAGUGCCCAAAAUUACAGCAUGGUCUUGUUAUGAUUGUCGUCAGUUUUGACCAUUUUAUCAAGUUUUUUUAGAAGUUUCCUUGUCUUCAGAGGCCAAAUGUCUGGUUUGGUAACUGCUUUGAUGUGUUUUCAGUCUCACCAUUUUUGUACAAUAAUAGUUUUACUUAUUGUACCUGUACCAAAAGUGAAAGUAACUGUACUUUUAUUGACUUUGAUGUUUCAUAUUCACUGUUUAAUGAAACACAGCGAGAGCUGAUGCCACUGUGAGGAGCGGCUUGUGGUCAUUGUCUCGGGGUAUCGUUCCGUCACCAGAAGGUUUGAUGCUGAUGAGUCACGCUAGACUAAACAUAAACCACGGCAAAGUGUCCCCUGGAGGAAACUGAAACGAGGAUAGUAGCCCAUCCUGUUCCCAUUCCCAGGCUGUCGAAUGCCAACACGUAGUUGUGCCCUCCGGCUUCUGAUACACACGGCUCCAUUUAGCAUCUGCACGAGAUGUUUCUCGAGCGUCAGUGAGGAGUUGGAAGCAGGAAGAGCUGCAGCAUUUCAUUGUCCUUAAGGAAAAGUGGGGUUUUCAAAAGGUUAUUUAUGAAUUUAAAGAGUAGCUGUAGUUUAUGAUUAGUGGCGUGUCCAUUCCAAAACAAGUCCAUAGUGGGGGUUUUCCUCCAGUAAGUGCGUUGACCUUUGGACAGGAAACAGGAAAGUUGCUGACUAAUGAUGAGAUGAUAGAUGAUGUACAUCCCCUCAAGGUCAUGUGAGCAUGGUAGAUCUUAUCCUCAUACUUGGCUUCAAUUCACUCAAAUAACAAAAGGCAAUACCCCCAUUAUUAUUUCUUUAGCACAUCAUAAUCAUGAUACUUUGACAUUCUAAUGCAUCAUUUUCAACCUACUAUGGCUUGCCUACCCUCGGGGCAUACGCACAUUACACCACUGUGACAUCACGAGUCAGCAGCUCGUCCGCCGACGCAUCCUCCCACACUCCUCCCACACUUUACCCUUCAAGAUUCAGCUAUGAAGCAAAGUAGACCUCAGAAGCUCAAUUAACAUGCAGUUUUGGGAAAAUAGUUUUUGAGUGUGUGUGUACUUGCAUGUAUAGGCUGACAUCAGCCAAAGUGAUAGUCAUACUGCAACUAUCUCAUGUGUUGAAACUACAUUUUAAUUUCACAUAUUGCUCCAUAUUCUAAAUAUCAUGCAGCGUGUUCCUCUAAGGGCUGCUUCUUUCGUAGGGGUACUUUUUAAAAUCUACCUCUGCAUGCGAGGACGUUAUUAAAAGGUUCUACCAUCACUUCCUUCCUGACAAACGUCUUAUAACACUUCCUCCCCUGUGUGGCGUCACUUGAAACAACAGCAGCAGUCAUGUCUUCAAAGAGGUUGGCCGGUCGGGCAGAAAGUGGGGGUCUAUGUGGGUGUUCCUACUAGGAAAAAAAGAAAGAAGAGAAAGGUAUAUUUUAAAGGUAGAUACAAGGAGUGUGCCUUUAUUCUGCAAGGUGAUCAGAAUCUGAACGCCAGGAUUCCCCCUUGAAGUCACAUUGAAGUUGUGAGACGUGUCAGAUGGUAAUCAUCACAGACAGCUCCGACAUCAAGAAGACGCAUUGUGAGGCUUUGGCUUUGAUCGCACUGACUUUUUUUCACGGAGGAGACAAACCGAGCCGGGUUCCGCUCCCGUCAACACUUUGAGUUUGUGGUGCGCGUCCACUGUUUGCAAUCCUGUUUUGUUGCAGAUAAACCAACUCAACUGAGUGACAGCCGGCGGAGAGCAAGACAUGACGAUGUCUGGAUGGAUCGCUCAAAACAAUGAAAAUGAGACUUGAUAGAUGGUAACAUGCAGCUUUCUUAUAUCAGUCUGGACUGCCCGGUUUGAAAUGUAAGACAAACACGCUAUCGCAGCCGUGUGCACCCCCCCCUGGUUCUCCACUCUCCCUCGAUGCGGACAUCCAAAAAAAACCCCCAAAAAACAUGCAGAAGCAACACAAAUCAAUAUCACGUUCCGAUUCGAAAUGAAACAAAAGAUCAAUCCAGAACUGAUGAGGGAUGGCCUCGGCAUGGAUCAGUUCAAGCUGGUGAUUUGUAAAUCAUGGUAGAUCAGAUUGUUUCGCGUGUACACACCCAGUACUGCAGAGCUGUCCGCUGCAUGACUCAAGAUGCUCAUGAUUGACCUUCACAAUACAGGACGCGUUUUAGUAUACACAUAUAUAU
This is a long non-coding RNA of Cyclopterus lumpus (lumpfish), 3552 nucleotides long. RefSeq lists it as uncharacterized. The transcript is spliced from 5 exons. The record is from RefSeq and is a predicted model, not a curated record. Lineage: Eukaryota; Metazoa; Chordata; Actinopteri; Perciformes; Cyclopteridae.